AUCCCGACUUACCAACCCGAUGCAAACUGCGAAUACCGGAGAAUGUUAUCACGGGAGACACACGGCGGGUGCUAACGUCCGUCGUGAAGAGGGAAACAACCCAGACCGCCAGCUAAGGUCCCAAAGUCAUGGUUAAGUGGGAAACGAUGUGGGAAGGCCCAGACAGCCAGGAUGUUGGCUUAGAAGCAGCCAUCAUUUAAAGAAAGCGUAAUAGCUCACUGGUCGAGUCGGCCUGCGCGGAAGAUGUAACGGGGCUAAACCAUGCACCGAAGCUGCGGCAGCGAUGCUUAUGCGUUGUUGGGUAGGGGAGCGUUCUGUAAGCCUGCGAAGGUGUGCUGUGAGGCAUGCUGGAGGUAUCAGAAGUGCGAAUGCUGACAUAAGUAACGAUAAAGCGGGUGAAAAGCCCGCUCGCCGGAAGACCAAGGGUUCCUGUCCAACGUUAAUCGGGGCAGGGUGAGUCGACCCCUAAGGCGAGGCCGAAAGGCGUAGUCGAUGGGAAACAGGUUAAUAUUCCUGUACUUGGUGUUACUGCGAAGGGGGGACGGAGAAGGCUAUGUUGGCCGGGCGACGGUUGUCCCGGUUUAAGCGUGUAGGCUGGUUUUCCAGGCAAAUCCGGAAAAUCAAGGCUGAGGCGUGAUGACGAGGCACUACGGUGCUGAAGCAACAAAUGCCCUGCUUCCAGGAAAAGCCUCUAAGCAUCAGGUAACAUCAAAUCGUACCCCAAACCGACACAGGUGGUCAGGUAGAGAAUACCAAGGCGCUUGAGAGAACUCGGGUGAAGGAACUAGGCAAAAUGGUGCCGUAACUUCGGGAGAAGGCACGCUGAUAUGUAGGUGAAGUCCCUUGCGGAUGGAGCUGAAAUCAGUCGAAGAUACCAGCUGGCUGCAACUGUUUAUUAAAAACACAGCACUGUGCAAACACGAAAGUGGACGUAUACGGUGUGACGCCUGCCCGGUGCCGGAAGGUUAAUUGAUGGGGUCAGCGCAAGCGAAGCUCUUGAUCGAAGCCCCGGUAAACGGCGGCCGUAACUAUAACGGUCCUAAGGUAGCGAAAUUCCUUGUCGGGUAAGUUCCGACCUGCACGAAUGGCGUAAUGAUGGCCAGGCUGUCUCCACCCGAGACUCAGUGAAAUUGAACUCGCUGUGAAGAUGCAGUGUACCCGCGGCAAGACGGAAAGACCCCGUGAACCUUUACUAUAGCUUGACACUGAACAUUGAGCCUUGAUGUGUAGGAUAGGUGGGAGGCUUUGAAGUGUGGACGCCAGUCUGCAUGGAGCCGGCCUUGAAAUACCACCCUUUAAUGUUUGAUGUUCUAACGUGGACCCGUGAUCCGGGUUGCGGACAGUGUCUGGUGGGUAGUUUGACUGGGGCGGUCUCCUCCUAAAGAGUAACGGAGGAGCACGAAGGUUGGCUAAUCCUGGUCGGACAUCAGGAGGUUAGUGCAAUGGCAUAAGCCAGCUUGACUGCGAGCGUGACGGCGCGAGCAGGUGCGAAAGCAGGUCAUAGUGAUCCGGUGGUUCUGAAUGGAAGGGCCAUCGCUCAACGGAUAAAAGGUACUCCGGGGAUAACAGGCUGAUACCGCCCAAGAGUUCAUAUCGACGGCGGUGUUUGGCACCUCGAUGUCGGCUCAUCACAUCCUGGGGCUGAAGUAGGUCCCAAGGGUAUGGCUGUUCGCCAUUUAAAGUGGUACGCGAGCUGGGUUUAGAACGUCGUGAGACAGUUCGGUCCCUAUCUGCCGUGGGCGCUGGAGAACUGAGGGGGGCUGCUCCUAGUACGAGAGGACCGGAGUGGACGCAUCACUGGUGUUCGGGUUGUCAUGCCAAUGGCACUGCCCGGUAGCUAAAUGCGGAAGAGAUAAGUGCUGAAAGCAUCUAAGCACGAAACUUGCCCCGAGAUGAGUUCUCCCUGACCCUUUAAGGGUCCUGAAGGAACGUUGAAGACGACGACGUUGAUAGGCCGGGUGUGUAAGCGCAGCGAUGCGUUGAGCUAACCGGUACUAAUGAACCGUGAGG
RNAcentral lists this ribosomal RNA (2010 nucleotides) under Shigella sonnei. RNAcentral describes it as "partial 23S ribosomal RNA". It matches the Rfam family "Bacterial large subunit ribosomal RNA", at positions 928 to 2915 of the family's 2925-position model. The record is from RNAcentral. Lineage: Bacteria; Pseudomonadati; Pseudomonadota; Gammaproteobacteria; Enterobacterales; Enterobacteriaceae.